RNAcentral lists this long non-coding RNA (1539 nucleotides) under Ailuropoda melanoleuca (giant panda). RNAcentral describes it as "lncRNA (ENSAMEG00000029043.1)". The record is from RNAcentral. Lineage: Eukaryota; Metazoa; Chordata; Mammalia; Carnivora; Ursidae.
GGGAGGGAGGCCCUGACAUGAGACACCCAGCAAUUCCAGAACUCCCCUCCUGCCCCAUCCCCCUUCUGGCUGCCAUCCCACGCUCUCAGGGCCGCUCCUUCCAUUUGAACUCCUCCACUUUCUACCACUUUCCUUCUUAGAGGAGCCAGACCUUUAGUCCUCUGUCAGAGUGGAAAGCCAUCCAACCCAACAAAACGUGGGGGGAUAUUUAAUUCAGACUGCAAAUAGGGUAGGCCCUUAUGUACAUAGAUAGCCGGGAGCUUGACUAACCAUUUUCUGCUUCUGUUUCCUCAUCUGUGUAACGGGACAAUAAUAGCCCCUUCGGCACAGGCAGCUAAGCCUGUGUUCAGUAACUGCCAGGUAUCAUUAACACCAUUGUCCUCUUAGGGUCAUCAUCUUGGGACCUGGGAGUGUCAGGAGCUCCCAUGUAAGAUGGCAAGCUCUUCCAAUGGCCCCACAUUCUAGAAGCCAGUAUUAGGAGUCACAAGGGCACAAUAGUUAGAAUGUUAGAGCUGGAAGAUCACCUAGCCCCGGGAGGGGAAAGGCCCCAAGAAAGGCAGAGACUAGCCUUAAGCCUCUCAUUUGGUCAGUGGCAGAGUCAGGACAGGAACCCAGGCCUCCUGCAUCCAGGCCACUUCUCAUUGCAUUCCAGCACUCUGAGUCCCUCAGAGUCCCGGAGGUCAAGGAGCAAGCUUAAUGCAUCUCUGUCAUCUGGGGAAAUGAGCGGGGCUCCUGGGAAAUGGGAAGUAUUAUGCACCCGGAACGGCUGCCAAAGAGCCACCUGAUGGGAGAGAAGGCUGUGGGCCCCCAGGGCAGCCCAGGAGGGCCUGGCCAGUGCUACCGCUCCUCAGGCAGGGCUCCGAGACAUGAGUGAAAGGAUGAAAAACAAUUCAAGGGAACUUUGGGGGCCAAGACAAAGCAGCAGCAUUUGACUUGCCUUGAAACUGCCCUCAAGUUCUACCCACUCGGGGAAGUGGAAUCAGCAGAGGGAGUUGGCUGGGCAGGGCUGAACCUUACGGGAGAUGUGGCCCAACUGACCUGCGCCCACAGCAGCCAGAACACCCAAGCCUCUGAUUUCCCCCUCAGCGUCCCCCUCCUUAGCUCCCCUCCCCACAUCUGUGCCUCUGCUGCGGCAUCUGGAGUCCCCCCGGGUAGCCCCAGCCCGGGAUGUGCAAAACAAAACCUAGCUCCUGCGAUUGAGAAAGUCAGGUUUCGGAUACACAUAAAGUCUAUAGGCUGACAUUCCGAUGUCAAUCACAGCGCCUGCCCCAAUAGGCAGCAAAGUUUUACGCCAUGUGACCACACCCAUCCCAAGCUGCAGCUAAUUGGUCAAGACAGUGGCACGUGACUCAAGUCCGUGAAUCCAGUGAAAUGGGAGCUGGACCAAUCAGACUCCCCCUCUGAAAAUUUGAACUAUCCGGGAAAACUGAGAUGAGGAAUCUCCAGGGCUCCUUUGGGCGACCCUGCCCCCACAGCUUCCAGUGGAGGUCAUCGGCCCUGGUGAAACCUAGCUGGAUGUCCUGAGAACCUCUCAAUCAC